AUGCAUAGCACCUGUCUGGAUGGAUGUGUGUGAGUUGUGGUUCAUUGCCAUAGUUGCCAACAGUUUGGUAUAUUAAUAGUUUAUUGGAGCAUCUCUUGAAAAUAAUGAACAAAAACGGAGAUAGAAGCCACAUUAAAGAUCCGUAGAGGUCACUUGAACUCAGGACAGCAGAUGUUUGUGUCAUCACAAACUAUUCAUCACAAUUUCUAGUGAUUACUGUUUUACAACAAAUCUUAUGUUAACAUUAAAAUAAGUAAAUAAGCUGAAAUACAAACUGACGUCAAAUUCUCUGAAGUACGGAAGCCCAGAGCGACCAAGACAUUGAGUAAGGCUAACAGUUCCUGGGUUCCACAGCUCCUCCAAAGUGUCUUACUGUUUCUUUAAGACAAAGUCUAUACAGAGAGCCUAGAAAUGAUGAAUAUAUUCACAAUUUUUGUGCCAUCUCUUUAAAAUGUAACUUUAAAAUAAACACCUGAGCCAUAUACAGACAGAGUGACAACAACACUUGGACCCAAGCUUUAUAUAAAGCGUUAUUAUGGUUAAACCAAAGCCAUAUGAAGGUGGGGUUGUUCGAGUUAGUCCAGUUAAACCAGUUAUUCUAGCGCCAUGUACAGGUGGAGUUGUUCCAGGUAGUCCAGAGACAUGUACAGGUGGAGUUGUUCCAGGUAGUCCAGAGACAUGUACAGGUGGAGUUGCUCCAGUUAGUCCAGAGACAUGUACAGGUGGAGUUGCUCCAGUUAGUCCAGAUUGUACAUGUGGAGUUGUUCCAGUUUGUCCAGAGACAUGUACAUGUGGAGCUGUUCCAGUUAGUCCAGAGACAUGUACAUGUGGAGCUGUUCCAGGUAGUCCAGAGACAUGUACAGGUGGAGUUGUUCCAGUUAGUCCAGAUUGUGCAUGUGGAGUUGUUCCAGGUAGUCCAGAGACAUGUACAGGUGGAGGUGUUCCAGUUAGUCCAGAGACACGUACAGGUGGAGUUGUUCCAGGUAGUCCAGAGACAUGUACAGGUGGAGUUGCUCCAGUUAGUCCAGAGACAUGUACAGGUGGAGUUGCUCCAGUUAGUCCAGAUUGUACAUGUGGAGUUGUUCCAGUUUGUCCAGAGACAUGUACAUGUGGAGCUGUUCCAGGUAGUCCAGAGACAUGUACAGGUGGAGUUGUUCCAGUUAGUCCAGAGACACGUACAGGUGGAGUUGUUCCAGUUAGUCCAGAUUGUACAUGUGGAGUUGUUCCAGGUAGUCCAGAGACAUGUACAGGUGGAGGUGUACCAGUUAGUCCAGAGACACGUACAGGUGGAUGUCGGCGUGCACUUUGUCGGAGGUUUCAGGAUACAGUAACACGAAAUAACAGAGAUGAUGCCAGACUAACUUCAAAAAGGAAACAUGCAUUGUUAAGGUAAACCUAGCAUCAGGGGUUGAAAUAGUUUGGAGGUCAGGUCCAACUCUGCGAGGUGAGAGUUGAUUGACAGGUUUGAGAUUGGUUGAUUAGAGAACCAAUCAGAGAGGAGCAGCCGGUUGUUCAGGAGUUGCCGGAGUUCCGGAAUUCACCAUUCUCUGUGAUCUGCAGAGACGAGGCGUUGCUUGGAGACAGGCCGUUCCUCUGUGAUGUCACUGCGUACCGCUCCUUCAGUUGAGUCACAGCAGCCAUCAGACGACUGUUAGCUGCAUCCAGACUGGAUAUCCU
Gasterosteus aculeatus aculeatus (three-spined stickleback) is the source of this 1677-nucleotide long non-coding RNA. The record is from Ensembl. NCBI's taxonomy places the organism in Eukaryota, Metazoa, Chordata, Actinopteri, Perciformes, Gasterosteidae.